Molecule: ribosomal RNA, 493 nt
Filed under: Atlantibacter hermannii
Lineage: Bacteria; Pseudomonadati; Pseudomonadota; Gammaproteobacteria; Enterobacterales; Enterobacteriaceae
Description: bacterial SSU rRNA
Rfam family: Bacterial small subunit ribosomal RNA
Source: RNAcentral
CGUAAGCGCACGCAGGCGGUCUGUCAAGUCGGAUGUGAAAUCCCCGGGCUCAACCUGGGAACUGCAUCCGAAACUGGCAGGCUUGAGUCUUGUAGAGGGGGGUAGAAUUCCAGGUGUAGCGGUGAAAUGCGUAGAGAUCUGGAGGAAUACCGGUGGCGAAGGCGGCCCCCUGGACAAAGACUGACGCUCAGGUGCGAAAGCGUGGGGAGCAAACAGGAUUAGAUACCCUGGUAGUCCACGCCGUAAACGAUGUCGACUUGGAGGUUGUGCCCUUGAGGCGUGGCUUCCGGAGCUAACGCGUUAAGUCGACCGCCUGGGGAGUACGGCCGCAAGGUUAAAACUCAAAUGAAUUGACGGGGGCCCGCACAAGCGGUGGAGCAUGUGGUUUAAUUCGAUGCAACGCGAAGAACCUUACCUGGUCUUGACAUCCACAGAACUUUCCAGAGAUGGAUUGGUGCCUUCGGGAACUGUGAGACAGGUGCUGCAUGGCUGU